UACGGAGGGAGCUAGCGUUGUUCGGAAUUACUGGGCGUAAAGCGCACGUAGGCGGCUUUGUAAGUUAGAGGUGAAAGCCCGGGGCUCAACCCCGGAAUUGCCUUUAAGACUGCAUCGCUUGAAUCCGGGAGAGGUGAGUGGAAUUCCGAGUGUAGAGGUGAAAUUCGUAGAUAUUCGCAAGAACACCAGUGGCGAAGGCGGCUCACUGGCCCGGAACUGACGCUGAGACGCGAAAGCGUGGGGAGCAAACAGG
Molecule: ribosomal RNA, 253 nt
Filed under: uncultured bacterium
Lineage: Bacteria
Description: partial 16S ribosomal RNA
Rfam family: Bacterial small subunit ribosomal RNA
Source: RNAcentral